ACAGUGUUGAGCUUCUUCAAGCUGAUGUUGUGGAUGAAAGCCCGAUUGCUAUAGCGGUGGAUGGCGCAGAAAAGUUUGCCAGGGCAUCUCGUCACUCUGUCAAGGUGAACAAGAUCAAUGUGGCCAUCCAAACUAAAGAAGUUACCAGUGCUAAAGGAGGCCAUUCUGAAACAAGCCAUCUUGGUGGUUUUUCUAGGUGAGAACCUGUAUUUCCUUUCUUUUCCUUCAGUAAUUCAAACUUUGUAAUCACUUUGAUAUAAAUGAAUGAAAUUCACCUUUGUUC
This 283-nucleotide long non-coding RNA is filed under the name Elaeis guineensis (African oil palm). Its description in RNAcentral is "long non-coding RNA (EGUI_LNC033527)". The record is from RNAcentral. Lineage: Eukaryota; Viridiplantae; Streptophyta; Magnoliopsida; Arecales; Arecaceae.